CAAAAAUGUUACAUGGGUGAGUUAAGGGUCUUCCUAUCGCUUUAUAUCCAGAGGCGCAUUUCUCCCAUUACUGAUGACGCUGUGUUUGAGCCCUUAGGUAAGGGCUCUGUGUGGUAAAGGGACUUUUCAUUCCUUUUUAAGAAUCACUAGCAAUCUGAGGUUGAAAGCCUUGCGAGCAGGCAGAUUUCUCCCCUACCGUGGUAGACAGCAGAAGACCACCCCCAUCCCCACAUCCCUAAAGAUGUCCUUGCCCUAAUCCCUGAGAUUUGUGCAUCUGUUAGGUUAGAGGACAGGGAAGGGGAAUGAAGGUGGCAGGUGGAAUUAAGGUUGUUAACCAGCUGACCUGAUUAUAGGGAAGUUAGCCGGGACUAUGCAGGUGAGUGCAGUGUGUAAUCACAAGCGUUUUUAAAAGAGGAAGAUGGUAGGGCGGGGGCGAAGUCGGCAAGAGAUGUGUUUCAGGUAGGAUGAUUGGAGGUAUGAAAUAUGCUUGCUUUGAAGGUAGAAAAAGGGAACAGCACGCCCAAGAAUGCAGCAUCUUCUGGAAGCUGGCCAUGGCCAGGAAACUUUGACCUGUAGGGCUUCCAGAAAGGAACGCAAGCCUGUCGAUACCCUGAUUUUAGCACAGUGGGUCCACAUCUGACUUCUAAUCUACCAAACUAGAAAUUGAGAUUGAUAGAGUGCAAACACGGGAGGAGCAGAGAGAGGGAGAAUCUGAAGAAGGCUCCAGGCUCUGAGCACAGAACCCAACACAAGGCUCCAUGUCAGGAACCGGGCAUUGGUGACCUGAGCCGAAGACGGACACUUAACCAACUGAGCCACCCAGUAGCUCCAGCUCUCCCUGAGGAAUGAAGCUGUGGACUCUGCUUGUGGCAAAGCUCAGUAAGCCCUUAAAAAAUCAGGAAGCAGUCGUCAAUGCUCAAGUUAAAUCUGUAUGGCCAGUAGCAAAGAGCAAACUCCGGACUCGGGUGGCCUAUUACUCAGCUCAACAGUGCCAGCUACCAAGAUGGUUUUGGCCAGUAGUCCCUUUAUGGUUAGACAAGAUGCAUCCAAAUUACUGAUAUCGAAAAACACACCUGCCACCCCAACCAUCUGAAAUAAAAUGUCUAUCCUCCCAUCUCGA
Molecule: long non-coding RNA, 1120 nt
Organism: Felis catus (domestic cat)
Lineage: Eukaryota; Metazoa; Chordata; Mammalia; Carnivora; Felidae
Exons: 4
Source: RefSeq, a predicted model, not a curated record